Molecule: non-coding RNA, 629 nt
Organism: Pelobates cultripes (western spadefoot toad)
Lineage: Eukaryota; Metazoa; Chordata; Amphibia; Anura; Pelobatidae
Source: the annotation of a GenBank genome assembly
UAAAACAAAUCUAGGACUGAUUUAUUCACAAUAUCAAGUCAUUAUUAUAAACAGGUGUGAUAAAUUUAUUAAGUUACAUCAGAUUAUGGUUAAGGCAAUCAGUUGUACAAUGCAGGCCAAAUCAGGUUAUGUACUGCACCCAACAUUCAAAGGAAUAAAUCCAGUACGAUUAUGCAACCCAUGCUUCCAAUAACAAGAUUUCUAGCCUAUAGGACAUUCCUCAUCUCAUUGCACAUGCAAUCAAGAGAGAUAAGGUUGGCAAAAAGCAUACUAAAGAAUAUAAACCUAUGGACUGAUUAACUUAAUGUUUUGUUACUUCCAUGGGUGGAAGACAUAUUAAUGUAUAUACCAUAUCCACCUCCUUUAGUAAAUACUAUACCAAACUGUAAUUAACCUGUUAAUGCCUGUGACGAAGUGCCCUUCGCCACUUGUGCCUGGAGAGGACUGCUUGCCCGCCUCUUGCCCUGUGACUAUGGCCCCUGGGAUGUAUAGCCCUUUAAAGACAUGAUUUGGGCAUAAUGGAUUUGUGUUGUGCUGCUGCUGGCCCUUUAAGAACCAUCUGGGGACAUACUGUGGAGUUACUGGGUGGCCACCAUUUCCUGUAUCAGAAGCACAUGGUGAGAACAAUG